RNAcentral lists this ribosomal RNA (657 nucleotides) under Eutylenchus excretorius. RNAcentral's name for it is "eukaryotic LSU rRNA". It matches the Rfam family "Eukaryotic large subunit ribosomal RNA", at positions 415 to 912 of the family's 3401-position model. The record is from RNAcentral. Lineage: Eukaryota; Metazoa; Nematoda; Chromadorea; Rhabditida; Tylenchidae.
GGAAACGGAUAGAGCCGACGGAUCUGGCUUGCAUUCAGCCGCCGGCGGUUGGGUCACGGUUUCGGUACUCCUGCUUCUGGGUACUGUUGCCGUUUUACCCGACUUGCUAGUGGUGCAUUUGCGAGUGGAGUGCAUCGAGAAUCAUGGCGUAGCGGUUAGAUCCUAGCGUAGAGGACACCUUUGUGUGAAACCUGCGUUGGAGGAAGACUGUUUGCGUUGUGGUUUUAGUGCUAUGGCCUACGGUUGGGGUGUUUCGGAAUUUUUAGCGACGUACACCGGUCGCAUGCGACACGGGUGCGUCUAGCUAUCUAGCCGAGCCGAAUACCGCCUGGCUACAGUCUCGGUGUAAAAGUUGGUCAUCUAUCCGACCCGUCUUGAAACACGGACCAAGGAGUUUAGCGUGUACGCGAGUCAUUGGGUGUGAAAACCCAAAGGCGUAAUGAAAGUGAAUGCCACUCGAUUGGCCGAUAUGCGAUCCGGUAGACUUCGGUUUACUGGAGCAGCAUAGCCCCGUCUCGAUUGCUUGCAAUGGGGCGGAGGUAGAGCGUAUUCGCUGAGACCCGAAAGAUGGUGAACUAUUCCUGAGCAGGACGAAGCCAGAGGAAACUCUGGUGGAAGUCCGAAGCGGUUCUGACGUGCAAAUCGAUCGUCUGACUU